This 475-nucleotide ribosomal RNA is filed under the name uncultured bacterium. RNAcentral describes it as "bacterial SSU rRNA". It matches the Rfam family "Bacterial small subunit ribosomal RNA", at positions 328 to 793 of the family's 1533-position model. The record is from RNAcentral.
UGACAGUACUCCUACGGGGAGGCAGCAGUGGGGAAUAUUGCACAAUGGGCGCAAGCCUGAUGCAGCCAUGCCGCGUGUGUGAAGAAGGCCUUCGGGUGUUAAAGCACUUUCAGUCGUGAGGAAGGUAGUGUAGUUAAUAGCUGCAUUAUUUGACGUUAGCGACAGAAGAAGCACCGGCUAACUCCGUGCCAGCAGCCGCGGUAAUACGGAGGGUGCGAGCGUUAAUCGGAAUUACUGGGCGUAAAGCGCAUGCAGGUGGUUUGUUAAGUCAGAUGUGAAAGCCCGGGGCUCAACCUCGGAAUAGCAUUUGAAACUGGCAGACUAGAGUACUGUAGAGGGGGGUAGGAAUUUCAGGUGUAGCGGUGAAAUGCGUAGAGAUCUGAAGGAAUACCGGUGGCGAAGGCGGCCCCCUGGACAGAUACUGACACUCAGAUGCGAAAGCGUGGGGAGCAAACAGGAUUAGAUACCCUGGUAG